GGCAGAGAGAGCCCGGUUCCCGCGCCCCAGCCCGCGAGCAAGGGGCGUGAGGAAAGUCCCCCCACCGUCCGGACGGGCGACCGGGCGCAAGCCCGGAGUCGGAGACGGCUGGCUCUGGAACAGAAACGAGACCGCUCGUCCUGACCCAUGACGUGUGCGAACCGACCCGUAAGGGAAGGGAGCUAACCCACGGAGGGCGCGUGGCGCGCAGCGCCACGAACUGGGCGAACGGCGAGAGCCGUGAGCCGACGGACGAGAACGGAUGGAACGGCGAACCCUCGCCGGUGCAAGCCCGUGCCCGAAGGUAGUCCGGACAGCCGGCAACGGCAGGGCGCGGGUGCUUAGCGGAAUGCCGGGUCGAAACAGAAGGGGGCUUACUCCUCUCGGCC
RNAcentral lists this RNase P RNA (389 nucleotides) under Halolamina salifodinae. RNAcentral's name for it is "Archaeal RNase P". It matches the Rfam family "Archaeal RNase P". From Rfam's summary of the family: Ribonuclease P (RNase P) is a ubiquitous endoribonuclease, found in archaea, bacteria and eukarya as well as chloroplasts and mitochondria. Its best characterised activity is the generation of mature 5'-ends of tRNAs by cleaving the 5'-leader elements of precursor-tRNAs. The record is from Rfam by way of RNAcentral. Lineage: Archaea; Methanobacteriati; Methanobacteriota; Halobacteria; Halobacteriales; Haloferacaceae.